This 428-nucleotide ribosomal RNA is filed under the name uncultured prokaryote. RNAcentral describes it as "bacterial SSU rRNA". It matches the Rfam family "Bacterial small subunit ribosomal RNA", at positions 355 to 776 of the family's 1533-position model. RNAcentral also lists the same sequence under 1 other name. The record is from RNAcentral.
UCGAGAAUUUUUCUCAAUGGGGGAAACCCUGAAGGAGCGACGCCGCGUGGAGGAUGAAGGUUUUCGGAUUGUAAACUCCUGUCAUUCGGGAACAAUUGCACGGGUUUAACUGGCCUGUGCUUGAUAGUACCGGAAGAGGAAGAGACGGCUAACUCUGUGCCAGCAGCCGCGGUAAUACAGAGGUCUCAAGCGUUGUUCGGAUUCAUUGGGCGUAAAGGGUGCGUAGGUUGCAAGGUAAGUUGGAUGUGAAAUCCCGGGGCUUAACCCCGGAACUGCAUUCAAUACUGCUUUGCUAGAGUACUGGAGAGGAGAUUGGAAUUCACGGUGUAGCAGUGAAAUGCGUAGAUAUCGUGAGGAAGACCAGUGGCGAAGGCGAAUCUCUGGACAGUUACUGACACUGAGGCACGAAGGCCAGGGGAGCAAACGGG